CAGCCGCCGCGGUAAUACGUAGGGGGCGAGCGUUACCCGGAUUCACUGGGCGUAAAGGGGGUGUAGGCGGCUCGGUAAGUCGGGUGUGAAAUCCCACGGCUCAACCGUGGAAUUGCGCCCGAAACUGCCGAGCUUGGGGCCGGUAGAGGGAGACGGAACUGCCGGUGUAGGGGUGAAAUCCGUAGAUAUCGGCAGGAACGCCGGUGGGGAAGCCGGUCUCCUGGGCCGCGCCCGACGCUGAGGCCCGAAAGCUAGGGGAGCAAACCGGAUUAGAUACCCGGGUAGUCCUAGCCGUAAACGAUGCCCACUAGGUGUGGGGGAGUAUUUCCUCCGUGCUGGAGCUAACGCGUUAAGUGGGCCGCCUGGGGAGUACGCCCGCAAGGGUGAAACUUAAAGGAAUUGGCGGG
RNAcentral lists this ribosomal RNA (407 nucleotides) under uncultured microorganism. Its description in RNAcentral is "bacterial SSU rRNA". It matches the Rfam family "Bacterial small subunit ribosomal RNA", at positions 509 to 917 of the family's 1533-position model. The record is from RNAcentral.